RNAcentral lists this ribosomal RNA (164 nucleotides) under uncultured bacterium. RNAcentral describes it as "partial 16S rRNA". It matches the Rfam family "Bacterial small subunit ribosomal RNA", at positions 355 to 511 of the family's 1533-position model. The record is from RNAcentral.
UAGGGAAUCUUCCACAAUGGGCGAAAGCCUGAUGGAGCAACGCCGCGUGUGUGAUGAAGGGUUUCGGCUUGUAAAACACUGUUGUAAGAGAAGAAUGACAUUGAGAGUAACUGUUCAAUGUGUGACGGUAUCUUACCAGAAAGGAACGGCUAAAUACGUGUCAG